GCUGGGAUUACAGGCGUGAGCCACCGCGCCCAGCCCCUAUGGUGGCGUGAUUUAAGUAAGUUACACUCAGUAACGUCGCUCUCAAAUGUCACAGAGUGAAGGUCUUCAUUAUCUUUAUCAGAUGAUAAUUUUACCUGCAAAUUUCACUUCAGCUGGGGGUAACAAUGAGGUCUUUCUCAAUUUCCCGUCGUGACUCUGCACCUAGGAAAAUCAGCAAAGGAGAUACAGUCAGAAAAGUUAAUAGCAUAGGUAUGUUAGGAUUAACUGCAGUGCCUCUCUAGUAGGACAUCUGGAUGUGACCAUUGUCUCCAGAUCUGUGGACCAACAAUGAACCCAUUCAGAAAUGACCUUUGAAAAGGCCAUUUCUGCUGGCAUUGCAGUGUGCACUUGUAGUCCCAGCCACUUGAGAGGCUGAGGCAGGCAGAUCGGUGUGGACUACGCUGAUUCGGAUUGUGCACUAAGUUCAACUUCAAUAUGGUGACCUUCUGGGAGCAGGGGACUACCAGGCUGCCUAAGGAGGGAUAAACUGUCCCAGGUAAAAAAUGGAGCAGAUGAAAACUCCUGUGCCGUUCAGUAGUGAGAGUGCACCUGUGAAUAGGUACAUGUCUUACGGUGCGAGAGCAUAACGUCCAUACUAUAGUGUCUUCUUUGGAGAUUUUUAGAUACUUUUGACCUCUCUGGUAUUUUCUCUCAUGGUGAGUCUGUCCUAACAACCUUAUUAUCAACGUGUUUUUGCAAUUUAACCAUACUCCAUGGAAGAAGCCCUUUAACAUGAGACUUCUUCCAAAGUACUCCAUUGGCUUCCGGAAUAGAGGACUGCCUUUUGAUUCCUUUGUCUGGCUACCACAAGAGAGAGAUUCGUGGGAUCCAACCUGCCAUCAGGUCAACUGUUUUGUCCCAGAUGUCUCUUUUCAGGUUAAUGCCCCUCUAUCUUUAGGUCUUCAGCCUCAAUUUGACUUCCCCAGCUCAUCCGCUGAAGAGUGCAGAGUUAUGUCAGGUGAGGAAUCCCUCCAUCUCUAGUUUGGAAUGUUGCUGGGAGGAGGGCUGUCUCUCUGCAGUAGGUGAAAGUUUUAUUCAUUUAAACUAUAGUAUAUGUUAUAAACUAUAAUACAUUGUG
Molecule: long non-coding RNA, 1117 nt
Organism: Lemur catta (Ring-tailed lemur)
Lineage: Eukaryota; Metazoa; Chordata; Mammalia; Primates; Lemuridae
Exons: 2
Source: RefSeq, a predicted model, not a curated record